AGCGAACGCUGGCGGCAGGCUUAACACAUGCAAGUCGAGCGCCCGUAGCAAUACGGGAGCGGCAGACGGGUGAGUAACACGUGGGAACGUACCCUUCGGUUCGGAACAACCCAGGGAAACUUGGGCUAAUACCGGAUACGUCCGUAAGGAGAAAGAUUUAUCGCCGAGGGAUCGGCCCGCGUCUGAUUAGCUUGUUGGUGAGGUAACGGCUCACCAAGGCUACGAUCAGUAGCUGGUCUGAGAGGAUGAUCAGCCACACUGGGACUGAGACACGGCCCAGACUCCUACGGGAGGCUG
RNAcentral lists this ribosomal RNA (297 nucleotides) under uncultured Pseudomonadota bacterium. Its description in RNAcentral is "uncultured proteobacterium partial 16S ribosomal RNA". It matches the Rfam family "Bacterial small subunit ribosomal RNA", at positions 29 to 351 of the family's 1533-position model. Lineage: Bacteria; Pseudomonadati; Pseudomonadota. The record is from RNAcentral.